This is a long non-coding RNA of Aethalodelphis obliquidens (Pacific white-sided dolphin), 1589 nucleotides long. RefSeq lists it as uncharacterized. The record is from RefSeq and is a predicted model, not a curated record. Lineage: Eukaryota; Metazoa; Chordata; Mammalia; Artiodactyla; Delphinidae. The transcript is spliced from 3 exons.
ACCAAUAUACAGAAUAUGUUCUCUGCUCCUGACUCAUCAGCUUACAACCAACUUUUGUGACUUCUGCCGUGUGUCAGAAGAGAAAGUCAUUGGUACAUGGUGAUUCCUGCACGUGAGACUGCCUGCUACAAGGAGGGAGGCGGAGUCCAGGCGACCCAACUUGAGGAUCACCAGGAAGGCUGGAGGUGCCCUGGUCUCUCCUCUGAGUGACUUACCUUCACCGGCUUGAGCGUGGCCGAGAAGGCGUCCUGCAGGGCACAGCAAGCCAGCCUCCACAUCUCCUCCGUGAACACGGGGCCCGCUGUCACGAGGACGUACCUGCCAGGAGAAAAAAGGAAAGAAGUCUUGAAUUCAUACAUUUUAUUGUCACAAAAGGACAAAAAUCAUGCACUGGUGUUUACUAAGCACUUCUAGACAAUGCUGCUAUCUACUAAACGACUCAGCAUGAGCUGCUCUGGCACCAUAGAUACCUGAGUGGAUGAAGCUCUGAAUGUGCUCCACCACCAGCUCACAGGACAGACCGAUGGCAUGCUUGAAGUUAGCAGAGGCCACGUCCCAGUAAGAAUGGUCUUUAUGGCUACGGCGAAGCCAAAGGGACAUCACAGGAAGGAGAAGGUGAACAACUGCAUAGAUGCCAAACCCUGGUCCUGAAAAAGAAAGGUCAGCAUCAGAAUUGUGAUCUUAGCACCUCUCCUGCAACAGAAUGGCAGCGCCAAGUGACGGCAGAGAGCUUCCCACCUCUUUCCUCUUUCGCAGGAGCUCCCCAUUCUGAGAAGGAGCAAGGAAAAAGAAUUUACCACUGAUUGGGAAAUAUAUGGUCUUUGGUGACAUUUUUCUUUUUUGUUUCUGCAUGAUUUUAAUUACGUAAUACGUAAAUAUACUCGUUAAAAAUUCAAACAAUACUGAUAAAGCUAAAGGAUCACUUGAUCAAUUCCUUAGUCCCCAUAAACAUACAAAUACAUAUACACAUAUAAGAAAAAGUUCACCCUUUGAACUCGAUGUAUAUUUAUAUGAAACUAAGAGUACAUAUAUUUAUAAGAAUCAGAGAAAUAGAGGUUUUUUUAAAUUACUUUUAUAUAAAUGGGAUAAGGUAAACCUGGGUCUGCAUGUUGAUUUCUUGCCCAUAACAGUUACAAGUUAGAGAUCAUUCUGUGUCAGCAAAUUAGAUAUUCCUCAUUUUUAUUACCACAUACUGUUCCAAACUAUUCAAACUGUAUAUGCAUUAGUUUACUUAUCCAUUUCCUUACUGAUGGAAAUUUAAGAUGUUUCUAUAUUUUGCUUUAUGAACAACACUGUAAUAAAAAUAUUUGCGGAAACGUUGAUGGAUUUUUAAAAUUCUGACUACACAAGCAAGGUAUCCUUUUCAUAAUAAACACAGAAAACACAUGAGAGUAUAAAGAAGAAGAAAAUAAUAUUUUGAUGUAUUUCGUUCUAGUACUUUUUGAAUGUAUUAUCUUUGGGUGUAUGUGUAUAUUUAUAAAUGCUUCUCAUAAAGUUGAGAUUGUACUCCACGCUAUAUAUAUUUUAACAUAAUGCCCUGUAAACAAUUAUUGAUGUCAUUAAAUAUUAUUCACAGAUAUUCAUUUUAA